This 463-nucleotide ribosomal RNA is filed under the name uncultured bacterium. Its description in RNAcentral is "partial 16S ribosomal RNA". It matches the Rfam family "Bacterial small subunit ribosomal RNA", at positions 339 to 795 of the family's 1533-position model. The record is from RNAcentral.
CUACGGGGCGCUGCAGUGGGGAAUAUUGCACAAUGGGCGCAAGCCUGAUGCAGCCAUGCCGCGUGUAUGAAGAAGGCCUUCGGGUUGUAAAGUACUUUCAGCGGGGAGGAAGGGAGUAAAGUUAAUACCUUUGCUCAUUGACGUUACCCGCAGAAGAAGCACCGGCUAACUCCGUGCCUGCAGCCGCGGUAAUACGGAGGGUGCAAGCGUUAAUCGGAAUUACUGGGCGUAAAGCGCACGCAGGCGGUUGUUAAGUCAGAUGUGAAAUCCCCGGGCUCAACCUGGGAACUGCAUCUGAUACGGGCAAGCUUGAGUCUCGUAGAGGGGGGUAGAAUUCCAGGUGUAGCGGUGAAAUGCGUAGAGAUCUGGAGGAAUACCGGUGGCGAAGGCGGCCCCCUGGACGAAGACUGACGCUCAGGUGCGAAAGCGUGGGGAGCAAACAGGAUUAGAUACCCCAGUAGUC